Paralichthys olivaceus (Japanese flounder) is the source of this 1993-nucleotide long non-coding RNA. RefSeq lists it as uncharacterized. NCBI's taxonomy places the organism in Eukaryota, Metazoa, Chordata, Actinopteri, Pleuronectiformes, Paralichthyidae. The record is from RefSeq and is a predicted model, not a curated record.
GAGCUGCUGCACACAGAGGAGACAUGUUCACGAACAAGUUUGGUCCGAAGGAAAACUAAAUAACUUCAGCAAUCUGUGCGAGAGUGAAAGUGGGUCUGGAGCUGUCAGUGUCUCCAGAGGGAGGAAACUACUGAAGUGUCCCCGAGCUGUGAGACAGAAGUUCUCCUCAGCUCAAACUUCAUUGUGUGCUCGCUUCCAAACCACGAGGAUCAUCCAGGCUGGAUUUGUUUGAGGGAUGAUUUCUUCGCUUCUUAUUCUACUGCUUCAUCAUCAUCGUGCUGGUCGAUGCCCUUGUUUCACCUGGACGCUGAUGUGUGGAUGUUGGUGCCAUUUAAAGAGUGCGGCAGAACAUGCACUUCCACUGGAGACUUUAACACCUGCCAGCUCACUGGUCUCAGCCCCCAUGUAUUUACACUGCCAACACUCGCAUUCACGCAACACAAUGCCACAUGUGCCGUACGUAUUUACCAUUUGUAUUUUUCUAGAGCUACAAUAAGACAUACAUUCUCAAACACAUGGAUCAGGUUUGGGACUGAACGGGGCCAGACUGUGUCAGUGUGACAAGCAUAAAAGGCUGACUGAUGCUUGUUUACACAGCUUUGAAUAGGGAGACUGGUUUUCAGCACAAAUGAAGAAUUAAGUAUUGUGUGGGAAUGCUGUCCUUAAAUGAAAUGUAAGAAAUUAAUGUGUGUCAUAACUACAUUGUGCUUUGGCACAAUGAGCCAUUCAGCUCAAAUUGUAUUAUAAAAAUAGCUUUGGACACGACGUAUGUAUGCAAAUGGUGCCUAUUAGAAUUUGGCAGAAUAAAGGAGAGGCCCUGAAAGAGAGAUAAUAGGUUUUUGGAAAGGAAAAUGUGCAUCUAUUUCUGGUAGGAGUCUGGGCUGUGUAUUAAGACUCUCGGCACAAGUGUUUCACCUCCAAGUGUUUCCCUAAGCAGCUUUCCAUCACCCUUUCUCCCUGCCUACUGGUUACUGAUGGCAGAUGCUAUUGAUGGCUCCUUACAGGGAGAAUCACGUUUGACACCGCGACCCUGUCCUCACCAGAUUCUCUUUUUUCUUCUGGGGAGUGGAAAGAAAGUGGAUAAAUAGAUGAAUAAAACAGAGUGGUGCGGGUCCCUCGACAGACAAUGAGAAGGGACUGAGUGGAAUAUCAAUGAAACAUAGUUCACACUAGAUUUGCCCUCAUGAAUAACACAUCUCUGCUAAUAGGAGGGAAAUGGUAUGUCUGUAGAGUUGUGUGACUCUGUCCAUCAUUAGACUGGACAAACUCAAUUUCCUGUGUCUCUCCAAAGACCCUGAUAAGCACCCUGGUGUUUUCGCUGCAGUUAUUACCUGAUUCUAAAUAACGUCUUGGCUCCACACUCAAAGGUGUUUACGGUCAUGUUCAUGCAUAUAGCGGUUAAUAAUGGUAAACUCUGGUGAACUUUUUACGCUGUGGAUCGAAUUAAGGUUUCACUUAAUACUAUAAUAUGUAAAUGCCCAAAGUUUUUCUGUGUUCAAUUUUUUUCAACUACAUUUUAUACACAUAAGUUUAACUUCCAACAAAGUCAGAUAUUGUAAAUCAUGAACUUUUGAUUUGUAUUCGAACCAUGCUUUCUAAAAGUAGAAAAGUAAUCUAAGAUGUUUAGCUAAUAAAAGGAGAUAGAACUGAAGGUCAGAUUGGUGGUCAUUUUGUAUAACUCUAAACAUUGUAUGUUGGGUAGAGGCCGAGUUAGUCUGAAGUGUCUAUGUCAAUAAAGUAAGAAAGCAACUCACGAUGAUCUGUAAUGCAUCACGCAUGGUGCCAGACUUAAUCAGACUAUUUAUUGAAAUAAUUUAAGAUUUAAGAUUAACUAAAAUAUUACUGCAAAAAAUGUGGAAGCUGUUUUUUUUUUUUUUCUAUUUCACGUGCAUCAUAUGUUUACAUCUGAAUUAUGUAUUUGUAUUUGUUUACAUCCCAAAUAUGUUGUUUAAUCUCAAGCAUCUUUUAAUAGACUUGAAAACAAAUUGAGCAA